RNAcentral lists this unclassified non-coding RNA (105 nucleotides) under Cephalotheca foveolata. RNAcentral describes it as "sequence contains ITS1". Lineage: Eukaryota; Fungi; Ascomycota; Sordariomycetes; Cephalothecales; Cephalothecaceae. The record is from RNAcentral.
CCGCCGGAGGACCCCAAACUAUACUUGAAUCAUUGGCCCUUCUGAGAAUAAGCUUCAAUAAUCAAAACUUUCAACAACGGAUCUCUUGGUUCUGGCAUCGAUGAA